Mus musculus (house mouse) is the source of this 753-nucleotide long non-coding RNA. RefSeq annotates it as predicted gene, 38584. Lineage: Eukaryota; Metazoa; Chordata; Mammalia; Rodentia; Muridae. The record is from RefSeq and is a predicted model, not a curated record. The transcript has 3 exons.
CUCACUUCACCAGAGCCCAGGUCCCUCAUAAAGCAGGCUGCAGUGCCUCCUAGUGGCCGAAAUCAGAAAGGGCCAUAACUGAACUGAGACUUCGUAAGCCCUUUUCAGGUUAAUGUGGGGAUCUGGGCAGAUUAUGAGGUUCACUGAUUUUAUAUGAAGAAAAUAAAAAGUAUGAACCCAAUUCUAGUUAUUAAUCAAGAAACAAUUAUUUAUUGGCGAAACGUGCUAGUUUAAAUGUAGUGAUCAAUGACACUCUCCAGGUGCUCUCUCAUAGUGGAGGGUCGUGAUGAUGGAGGAUCAGAAACCCGCAAACUUGGCUGAGAAAAUGGAGCCGAGGAAAAUUCUCGGGCAAAUUCACUGAGGAAGAGUCGAUCACCAUUCCUGUUGCCUGACUGGUGUAACAUCAACUCUCAGGCAUGUCAGAUCAAGAGGGAGAACCAUAGUAAACGAAGAAAGUGGAGCCGUGUGCUUGCGCUGAGAGCCAUGUGGAACCAAGUUAUUGAAGAUGGAUCCACAGAAUGGUAGUUACACAUAAGGAUGUACCAGAUGAUGACUUUUAAAAUCCAGAUUGAAGACUACACAAUCAAAACGAGAACCUCUUACAUCUAAUGAUUCCUUAUACCGUCAGUGUUCUUUGAAGAUAUAAAUUGAAUAUGUCUUUAUGAACUCUUUGCUAGGAAAAAAAAAGAACUGCUAAGUCAAUACUAUACCUGCCUUCCCUCUUUGAUUAAAAAUUUAAACCAUUUAUAACCA